Long non-coding RNA from Cyprinus carpio carpio, 2344 nucleotides. The record is from Ensembl. Lineage: Eukaryota; Metazoa; Chordata; Actinopteri; Cypriniformes; Cyprinidae.
UAUACAUAUAAACACAACAAAGCAAUCCUUUGAUUUCUGAUUUAAAUAGCACAUGUAGCCUACUCUUCUGAAACAUUUAGGUGUCAAAAUAAUGUAAUAUAUAAAUUUUUAAAAACAUAGGCCUAAUUAAAGUACCAUAAUGUGACCAUAUAAAAUCUUACAUGGAUUUAUUUAUUUAUUUGAGUGGUAUUUUUCACUGGAGCAUUGACAGAAACAGCAGUUUAUAUCUGUAUUAGAUCUAUAAAUUAAAUAUAGAUAAUUAAAUAAAGUUAAAUACAUUAAAAUAUAUUAAAGUUGAAUAUAUUUAAAUAGAUAAUUAGAUUGAAAUAAUAUUAUAUUCUAUUAAAUAAUUAAAUAAUAAAUAUUUAACACAUAGAUUUAAAUUAAAUGAAAUAGUGUAUUUUAACGUGCGCUGGCCACGAGGGGCGUUAACGUGAUGUUACGUGAGUGACGUAAACGUGAUGGCAAAAAAAAAAAAAAAAAAAAAAAAAACGUAAACGUAACGUGAUGGCGCAAAUAACCACGAAGACGGAAGAAUAAUUCUGUUUAUUACAAAAGACUGAAGAUAUAACUGCCGCCAUCCUUUAAUUUAUUUAUUUCUACGUUGAGGACACUUUAUAAACCUACAGAGAUACCGGACCAACGAACGACCUUCACAACGGGACGGAGCUAACGUAAUUAACGUUAACGGUUACUUGGAAAUUCAAACAGUAACGGUCAUCUGACAACUGCGCUGAGCCAAAGGUAAGAAUGAAUGUGCUUUUAUUCAUCGUUUUAUCAAUCUAAUGUUAAAUUUCACUUCAGUUUAAUAUUUCAAAUUAUUUAUUUGGAUUAUAAAGAUUAUAUAUUUUCAAAUUCCUCUUUUUGUAAUUGUACAUAACGUUAUCCCUGUUGGUUAAUUUGAGGUGGUCCAAGUUACAGUCUGAGGUAAAAUUUUGAUGAUCCUUUUUAACUAAGUUAUAAAAAUUAGUCACUAAAACAGGUAACUGUAAUUUUUCUUGAUCAAAUAAAGAAACGAUUUUAGAACUUAUAUUUUUUCUACUUUUCAGGACGGGAACAGCAACAAGAGUUUAACUUCUGAUUCGUAAUCUACACACUCUACUGGGCAGUUCAUGAAGACAGAUGUUGUGACGACCAGGACAGUUCCUCCUACCACACCAGACUUUGCUGUAUAUGGAUGCCUGACCACUAGCACUGGACAUUUACAACAUUUUGGCGCCAGGGAUCCCUUGCAGAGAAGAUUUUUCAAAGACACCCUCAGAAUUACAACAGAUUUUAAGGCUUAAAAUUAUUGUGGGUGGGAGUAUAAUGAACAUAAUAUGAUUGUUUUAUUUUAUUAUUAUUAUUUAUUUUUAAAUAGUUCCCAUUUUUUAAUAAUACAUUUGUUUAAUAAUACAGCACAAUAUAGGGCUAAGUUGCACCAGGUCAGGAAAAAACACAUAAGUUGCAUCCGUGUAUAAGACACAUUUUACUAUUAAUUUCAGAAAUAAUUUAAAUACUGAUAAAUAAAACAAACGUUAAGAAACUUAAAAACUAUGAACACUGUAAAGAUUUUAUUUCCCCCCACUUCAAAUCAUUUAAAUUGAAUACUAUUCAAAACAGAAUAAAAAUAAAAAUAUUUAGGCCUAUGUAUAAAAUAAAAUAAAUUCUAGUGCCAUUAUUUACAAGCAGUAUAUCUUUUGUUAAUUAAAAUGCACUUGCUAUCUCAGUUUCUGUGAACCUCAUUCUGAAAUGUAGAAAACACAGUGGUACAGACAAUACCACUGUGCACAGACAGGCUUGUCACACAGACAUGAGAAAUAUACUUAUAGAAACCUGUAAGUGCCCGCUUUUAUGUGUUUACGUUUUGCUUAGAAUAAUUCAGCACAUCUCAGAAGAUUAAAAAAAAAGACCAGUAGUCUGGAAAAUAUGGUAUAAAUUAUUUUGUUGACCCCUUUGCUUUGGUCCUGAACCCCAGAUUGAAAACCCUUUUUUAUUAUUAUUAUUGUGCAUGCAGAUAAUAUUUGGACACAUGAACACUUGACUAUUGCGUGAAUAAAGAAUACCAUCUUUAAGAAUUUUAUGCUAAUUGCAGUUUAAAUAAAAAUGAAAAAGCUUAAAAAGUUAAACUCCAAUAGGUGAACAUAAUGUGUGGACCCAACUAAACUAAAUUGUUUGUUGUUAAUUGUUAUCCACUGUAUAAUGAGUGACAUUUCUUUUAUUUCAUGGUUUUUGUGUGAACACACUGUUUCUUUAAGUUUAUUUACAAGUACAAAAAGAAAUUGCAUUGAAAUAAACAUGAUAUUUAAUUGAAUGCAGCCUAAGAGUGUUUAUUUUGUUCAGAAACAGUAUAAAUGACGCCUAA